This 91-nucleotide non-coding RNA is filed under the name Otolemur garnettii (small-eared galago). Its description in RNAcentral is "Eukaryotic large subunit ribosomal RNA". It matches the Rfam family "Eukaryotic large subunit ribosomal RNA", at positions 1221 to 1311 of the family's 3401-position model. The record is from Rfam by way of RNAcentral. Lineage: Eukaryota; Metazoa; Chordata; Mammalia; Primates; Galagidae.
GUCUAGAUUGGUUCUGAGAGCAGAACAGUGGCCAUGGAAGUUGGAUUCUGCUAAGGAGUGUGUAACAACUCACCUGCCAAAUCAACUUGCC